RNAcentral lists this ribosomal RNA (498 nucleotides) under uncultured bacterium. RNAcentral's name for it is "bacterial SSU rRNA". It matches the Rfam family "Bacterial small subunit ribosomal RNA", at positions 791 to 1296 of the family's 1533-position model. The record is from RNAcentral.
UAGUCCAUGCCGUAAACGAUGAUUACUAGCUAUUAGCGAUACAAUGUUAGUGGCAAAGCGAAAGCAUUAAGUAAUCCACCUGGGAAGUACGGUCGCAAGAUUGAAACUCAAAGGAAUUGACGGGGGCCCGCACAAGCGGUGGAGCAUGUGGUUUAAUUCGAUGAUACGCGAGGAACCUUACCAGGGCUUAAAUGUAAGUUGCAUGAUUUAGAGAUAGAUCUUUCUUCGGACUACUUACAAGGUGCUGCAUGGUUGUCGUCAGCUCGUGCCGUGAGGUGUCAGGUUAAGUCCUAUAACGAGCGCAACCCCUAUUGUUAGUUGCCAGCAUUAAGUUGGGGACUCUAACAAGACUGCCGGCGUAAGCCGCGAGGAAGGUGGGGACGACGUCAAAUCAUCAUGGCCUUUAUGCCCAGGGCGACACACGUGCUACAAUGGUACAUACAGAGGGUUGCGAAGCUGCGAGGUGGAGCUAAUCCCAGAAAGUGUAUCCCAGUUCGG